Transfer RNA from Ovis aries (sheep), 72 nucleotides. It matches the Rfam family "tRNA". Rfam says of the family: Transfer RNA (tRNA) molecules are approximately 80 nucleotides in length. Their secondary structure includes four short double-helical elements and three loops (D, anti-codon, and T loops). The record is from Rfam. Lineage: Eukaryota; Metazoa; Chordata; Mammalia; Artiodactyla; Bovidae.
UCCCUGGUGGCUCAGUGGUAAAGAAUCUGCCUGCCAAUGCAGGAGACACAGGUUCGAUCCCUGAUCCAGGAA